RNAcentral lists this long non-coding RNA (1311 nucleotides) under Homo sapiens (human). RNAcentral describes it as "HSALNT0115506". The record is from RNAcentral. Lineage: Eukaryota; Metazoa; Chordata; Mammalia; Primates; Hominidae.
UGGAAGGAAAUUGCUCUGUCAUAUGUCUUGUGGUGAUCACUUAGCUGCUGACAUGGUGGGAUGGAGGAUUCCAGAAUGCGUCAUGACUCACUGCCAUUGUGUUUACAGACUUACAGCAUACCAUGAAGACUCUACAUUAAAGCCACUUCUUAAAGCAAAUGCCAUGUCCUACAGUGCCAUCUGCAGAGAAGCAGUUUGCACUUGACAGAAAUCAAGGUCUUCUAAAUCCAGCACCACAGGGAUUCAAAUCUCCGUUGACAAGUGUUUAUAAAUGACUCGCAACCAGAACAUAUAUGUGGAAUCAGCACACAAAACUGGCAAGAGCACUGGUUCCGCUGCAGAAAUUACACACAAGAGGAGCUCUUUCUGUGUGCUUUCAUGCAUCAGUCUAGAGCCAGUUCUUCCUCAUUCACAUUGAAACGUCAGGUUCGGCCUGAAUAAUGUUUCCAUGCGGGCCUAAAAACUUCUGCAAAAAUUCGAUGGAAGUAAAAAUCACACAAGACCUCAUCACACUCCUCCAUGUGAUCUCAAUAUUUUUAAAGAAAAUAUUUAUAUACGUUUUAUUUAUAAACCACUAUUCUAAGACUUAUAAGUCUAUAAAGCUUCCAUUUGGGCAAAAAUGUAAUCUCCCAAGAUAUAGCAGCUCUCUAAGCUAAAAAUAAGAGAGAAUAUUUUUGAAGAGACAAGAGUCUCAGGUUCCUUGUGAGGGAACUCAAAAUAUUUCACCCCAAAAUAUGGCAAUCUGAGUGUUUUAAGUUAAAACCUCAUAGAGAUCAAUAAGCACUGGAGGAGAGUUUUCCCCUAUCAACAGAAAGACAGGACUGACUCACCCAGGAGAACAAUUGUUCUUGUUCCCCUCCCUGGUAUCUCAUUAUUCACUACAGGAAAGAAGACCAAAAAUGUAAGCAUACUUGAACAUACAUUUUUCAAGAUAAUGAGUGUCUCAAAUGAUUAUUUAAAUUCCAAAGAGAACUAUUUACAAGUUAAUUUCUGUUCCAGUUAUUUUCCUUAGUAAUCAUUUAUUGCACAUCAAUAGAAUUCCUCUUCCCACCCUCCCAUAGCCUGUUCUGCCAGGAUCCAAGCCUUCAUUCUUUCUGUAACCUCAAGAUGGUAUGUCAACCUUUGUACCUCAUUGGGAAGCUGGGUCUUCAUUUUGAAGGCUUCCAAAUAUACACAUUAAAUAAAUUUGUAUGUCUUUUCUCCUAUUAGUCAAUCUUCUUCUUGUCAGUGAUUUUCAGUGAACCUUUAAGGGGUCAAGUUUUGGCCCCCACACCUGCCUUCAGUAGCACGUUUGUUUGAAGGUGGAUCAAC